CGCCCGGUCUGAGCGCACAUUGCCACCUGUCCUCGCCCGCUGAGAAGCCCUGGCUCCGGAACGCCGUGAAAACACCUCCCCGCUGGACUCAGCCGAGCGCCGGAUGGCUCCUGGAGGAGCGGGGAGGUGGAAGGGACGCGCAGCUGGCAACGCCAAGCGGGGUCGUUCUCUGCGCUGCCCAGGGAGGUGGUGGAGUCCCCAGCCUUAGAGGUGGCCUCGGUGCUCUGGGCUGGGGAUCGGUCACAGAUUGGACUCGGCGAUCCCAGAGGUCUUUUCCAACCUAAGCACGUGGGCUGUACGAGCUGCACUCAAAAGGGUGUUAAAACUAAACCUGAGAUUCACAGCCACAACAGGCAGAAAGGUCUGUAACAGCCAUAUAAACAGGGAAAUAUUGCUGCCUGUCCUGUUUGAACUGUUCUACACCUCACACCAUCUGUUUUAUCUGUGAUGGGAAAGGAAAUAAAACUACAGCUGUUAAAAUUGCCAGGGAGAUGCUGUGUGUUUCCUGGGAAG
Hirundo rustica (Barn swallow) is the source of this 513-nucleotide long non-coding RNA. RefSeq lists it as uncharacterized. The transcript is spliced from 3 exons. The record is from RefSeq and is a predicted model, not a curated record. NCBI's taxonomy places the organism in Eukaryota, Metazoa, Chordata, Aves, Passeriformes, Hirundinidae.